This 1482-nucleotide long non-coding RNA is filed under the name Marmota monax (woodchuck). Lineage: Eukaryota; Metazoa; Chordata; Mammalia; Rodentia; Sciuridae. The record is from RNAcentral.
GGGAACCUGAGUCCUGCCAUGAUCUCUUACUUCCCUAGAGUCCAGGGUACUUCACAGGAAGCCUGAGGCUGUUAAUUUUUCUCCACCAAGGCCUACUUGUCUGGUGGCCUCUGUCUCCAAACAAAAGCCAGAGUGAAGAUGUAAGAAUGAAAAACGGGCAGCCAGAAUUGUUCUGCCUGGUGUUCCAGGAGCACAGUCAGCAGGGAGAACCCUCAGACCUCCCUCCCCUCGUUCUCUAUUUACUCAUAGUUUGCAUUGAGUCAAGUGUGUAUGUGCCCACGUCAUUGCCUGGACCAGGGAGAACCCAGUGCCCUUAUCCCUGGGGAGGCACCAUUGAUGGACCCGGUGAACACAAACCCUUCCCUCCUUAAGGCCUCAGUUUCUAAGCCAAGAACCCACUGAAGCAGCAAGAAUUUGAAACUUCCAUCCAUCUAGAGCCAAUCUGGGACAGCAGCUUCAUACCUCUGCGGCAGAGGUAAGCAUCCCACUGGCUCUAUAUAGAAACGUAUUCAUGAAGAUGGUACUGAGUUUGCAGAGAGGUAAAAAUCUUAGCUGCUUGUAAACUUGGCCACCCUGGGCAAUGCAUGGCUGAGGGCUCACAGGUGCUGAAGUUGUGCAGUACCGAAGCAACUACUCUGCCCAGGCUUCUGAAGGAGUCAGAAAUCACAGAGGACUGAGUAAAAGAAGAUGAAAUGUUAACGAAUGGAUUAGUGCUACUUCCAAAUGGUCUGACUUGGGAUUAUGUGGCCGUAUGUGCACAUCAGCUUGUACUUUCAAUCUGGACCACGUAUUGAGCCAACUUCUGCUUCUUCUGCACACUUGAAUAUAAGAUUCCAAGUUACAUUUUCUGUCUAGUGAUUUUUUUUUUCUUAAAAACAGAAUAUUGUGAGAUUCACUGGAAUUACAUUAACAUAUUCUCAUAGAUGUUUACGGAUUUGUUCUGAUUUAUGUUAAUAUAUUCAGUCAUAUUUCAAAAUCAGAUUUAAAAUAAAAGAUUUCCAUGCAAUUAUAUUGCUUCUUAAAAAGAAUAUAUUGUGCAUAAGUAAAAUUCAUACUUUUUAUGAUCAGUCCUACCACGUGGUCAGAAGACUGUAAAUAUGAACUGGCAAAGUUUUGAAGAUGUCUUCUAUAUUCAUUGUGACUAGAGCAGAAUUCAUAGUUUCUUCUGAAGAUUGGACUAUUUUGUGGGGUUUUAACUGAGCCAGUGAGAGGACUCUUAACUGUUUUGAAUAUUGUGGUUUGAGAUUAAACAGAACAUUUUAAAACUACUAAACUACUUAUCAUUUUUUUAAUGUGCAAUAAGUGCCUUCCCUUUCAUUUAGCUUGUACACAGGGCAAAUAAUUAGAAAAGUAAUUAUUGGUUUUGACUGCUUAGCACAUUGUAAAUUAUCAAAUGCAUAUAUUAAUAGGCAGCAAAAAUCAGAAAGUAUGCUUUUAACUCCACCAUAAAUAAUAUCUUGGACCUAGUAGAUUCAAGUUCAA